AUCUACAGCCAGGCUGCCCUGAACAAGCCUGAUCCCGGCUGAUCUCGGAAGCUAAGCAAGGUCAGGCCUGGCUAGUACUUGGAUGGGACACCACCUAGGCAGACCAGGUGCUCUAGGUG
Molecule: ribosomal RNA, 119 nt
Filed under: Pteropus alecto (black flying fox)
Lineage: Eukaryota; Metazoa; Chordata; Mammalia; Chiroptera; Pteropodidae
Source: RNAcentral